Sarcophilus harrisii (Tasmanian devil) is the source of this 618-nucleotide long non-coding RNA. RefSeq lists it as uncharacterized. The transcript is spliced from 3 exons. The record is from RefSeq and is a predicted model, not a curated record. Lineage: Eukaryota; Metazoa; Chordata; Mammalia; Dasyuromorphia; Dasyuridae.
UUAAGAAGGAUUUGUUUGGAGAAUGGGGAGGUAAGGAUGGGAGGCUGUAUAGGAUAAAAUAACAGGAAAAAUACAGAAAAGAGAGGCAAAAAGAUCCUUGAGAUCUCUCUCCCUUUCCUCCCUCUCUUUCUCUUUCUCUCUUUCUUUUUAAUGCAGAGAAGAGGAAAGACCAGAAAGAAGCACAAAUAAAGGAAGCACCUGGAACACAGAAUGGAAACGACUAUCUUGUGGUCACCCAAGGAGUCAAUGUGGAUUCAGGAUCCCCUCUUUAGCUCUCCUGGCUUCAAAGGAAUUGCAGACCUCUUGUCAGAAGAAGCUCAGAGCUGGAUGGAACCUUAGAGGCCAUUUAGUCCAAGCUGUAUUUGAAGAUGAAUCUCCUUCUACAGUAUGCCAUUUUUCCUGGACAAAGAGCUCCCUCCUGGGUGAUACCAUUCCACAGUGGAACAACUAUAACUCUUGGGAAGUUUUCCCUGACACUGAGCUGAAAUUGGCCUCUGGGUGACUUCUGUCCCUUUCUCAUACUUUUGAUUUAGGGUUCAAGCAGAACAAGCCUGCUCCUUACCAAUAAAAGCCUGUGAGUCCUUGAUUAUAGAUACUGCAUUAAACAUCACUACUUUC